AGACUCCCGAUCUAGCGACAAAUGGACUUUCAAAACAGAAAAAAGUAUGAAUAAAACUAUAAGAGUUUACGUGCUGAUGCCAGAGGCAUUUAAGAUAUGGUGUAGCAAUAGAAACCAUUCCUUAUAAUGUUAUUGCAAACGUCAUCCAAGACAUUGUAUGGUAUGGAUAUGACCAUUCUGUGUCUGUGAUAAAGAAACGUGGAAAUGGAGUGGUACUAUACUAACAUAAUCUUAUUAAUCCUUUUUUUCUAUAAUAGAAAUCUUAAAAUUCAUAAACCAAUAAAUCUCUGAAAGCAGGUCGUGAUAUAUAUUAAAAACAAUGGACAAGUACAACUAGAGUAAAUUGUAAAUUAAGGUUUUCCUAAUCAGGUACACAUCCGUGCUAUACCAAUUCAUUUGUAACAGAAAACCCAGAAAAAUAUAUUUAACAUGUAACAACAAACUGUAUUUGCAUGCCCUCUUUGUCUUUGAAUUUUUCGUAAAAUCAGGAUGAUUA
Daphnia carinata is the source of this 496-nucleotide long non-coding RNA. RefSeq lists it as uncharacterized. The record is from RefSeq and is a predicted model, not a curated record. The transcript has 3 exons. NCBI's taxonomy places the organism in Eukaryota, Metazoa, Arthropoda, Branchiopoda, Diplostraca, Daphniidae.